UGCGUCCCGUGAUGACAUGUUUUUACCUACAUUGUCUGACUCGAAUGAAUGAAACACUUCUCUGAGGAUGCA
Aplysia californica (California sea hare) is the source of this 72-nucleotide small nucleolar RNA. RefSeq annotates it as small nucleolar RNA SNORD34. The transcript has a single exon. NCBI's taxonomy places the organism in Eukaryota, Metazoa, Mollusca, Gastropoda, Aplysiida, Aplysiidae. The record is from RefSeq and is a predicted model, not a curated record.